This 480-nucleotide ribosomal RNA is filed under the name uncultured bacterium. Its description in RNAcentral is "partial 16S ribosomal RNA". It matches the Rfam family "Bacterial small subunit ribosomal RNA", at positions 28 to 506 of the family's 1533-position model. The record is from RNAcentral.
GAUGAACGCUGGCGGCGUGCUUAACACAUGCAAGUCGAACGAAGCACUUUAUUUGAUUUCCUUCGGGACUGAUUAUUUUGUGACUGAGUGGCGGACGGGUGAGUAACGCGUGGGUAACCUGCCUUGUACAGGGGGAUAACAGUUGGAAACGGCUGCUAAUACCGCAUAAGCGCACGGCAUCGCAUGAUGCAGUGUGAAAAACUCCGGUGGUAUAAGAUGGACCCGCGUUGGAUUAGCUAGUUGGUGAGGUAACGGCCCACCAAGGCGACGAUCCAUAGCCGACCUGGGAGGGUGACCGGCCACAUUGGGACUGAGACACGGCCCAAACUCCUACGGGAGGCAGCAGUGGGGAAUAUUGCACAAUGGGCGAAAGCCUGAUGCAGCGACGCCGCGUGAGCGAAGAAGUAUUUCGGUAUGUAAAGCUCUAUCAGCAGGGAAGAUAAUGACGGUACCUGACUAAGAAGCACCGGCUAAAUACGU